AGAGUGGAGCCGAGCACUGUGUAGCUGCUAGCCGGAGGCAUUGAUGUACAGCUGGCUUUUGAGGAUGUAGUCGAUGACCGGCUGGGACAGACCCUGCACUUGAUGGACCAGCUGGCACCACCCAGAUCAAUAAACUGGCUUAUUUGAAUUUGCGGCCCCCCACCUAGGAACUGACUCAGUGCAAGAAGACAGCUUCGACUCCCUGUGAUUUCAUCUCUGACCAAUCAGCAUUCCUGGCUCACUGGCUUCCCCAACCCAUGAAGUUUUCCUUAAAAACUCUGCUCCCGAAAUGCUCAGGGAGACUGAUUUGAUAACAAUAAAACUCUGGUCUCCCGCA
Molecule: long non-coding RNA, 337 nt
Organism: Pan troglodytes (chimpanzee)
Lineage: Eukaryota; Metazoa; Chordata; Mammalia; Primates; Hominidae
Exons: 2
Source: RefSeq, a predicted model, not a curated record